This 1357-nucleotide ribosomal RNA is filed under the name Burkholderia cenocepacia. RNAcentral's name for it is "partial 23S ribosomal RNA". It matches the Rfam family "Bacterial large subunit ribosomal RNA", at positions 1579 to 2925 of the family's 2925-position model. Lineage: Bacteria; Pseudomonadati; Pseudomonadota; Betaproteobacteria; Burkholderiales; Burkholderiaceae. The record is from RNAcentral.
UAGGGAGCGAAGCAAUUGGAAGUGGUUCCAAGAAAAGCCUCUAAGCUUCAGUCUAACGAUGACCGUACCGCAAACCGACACAGGUGGGCGAGAUGAGUAUUCUAAGGCGCUUGAGAGAACUCGGGAGAAGGAACUCGGCAAAUUGGUACCGUAACUUCGGGAUAAGGUACGCCCUUGUAGCUUGACUGGCCUGCGCCAGGAGGGUGAAGGGGUUGCAAUAAACUGGUGGCUGCGACUGUUUAAUAAAAACACAGCACUCUGCAAACACGAAAGUGGACGUAUAGGGUGUGACGCCUGCCCGGUGCCGGAAGAUUAAAUGAUGGGGUGCAAGCUCUUGAUUGAAGUCCCGGUAAACGGCGGCCGUAACUAUAACGGUCCUAAGGUAGCGAAAUUCCUUGUCGGGUAAGUUCCGACCUGCACGAAUGGCGUAACGAUGGCCACACUGUCUCCUCCCGAGACUCAGCGAAGUUGAAGUGUUUGUGAUGAUGCAAUCUACCCGCGGCUAGACGGAAAGACCCCAUGAACCUUUACUGUAGCUUUGCAUUGGACUUUGAACCGAUCUGUGUAGGAUAGGUGGGAGGCUAUGAAACCGGAACGCUAGUUUCGGUGGAGCCGUCCUUGAAAUACCACCCUGGUUUGUUUGAGGUUCUAACCUUGGCCCGUGAUCCGGGUCGGGGACAGUGCAUGGUAGGCAGUUUGACUGGGGCGGUCUCCUCCCAAAGCGUAACGGAGGAGUACGAAGGUACGCUAGGUACGGUCGGAAAUCGUGCUGAUAGUGCAAUGGCAUAAGCGUGCUUAACUGCGAGACCGACAAGUCGAGCAGGUGCGAAAGCAGGUCAUAGUGAUCCGGUGGUUCUGUAUGGAAGGGCCAUCGCUCAACGGAUAAAAGGUACUCUGGGGAUAACAGGCUGAUACCGCCCAAGAGUUCAUAUCGACGGCGGUGUUUGGCACCUCGAUGUCGGCUCAUCUCAUCCUGGGGCUGUAGCCGGUCCCAAGGGUAUGGCUGUUCGCCAUUUAAAGAGGUACGUGAGCUGGGUUUAAAACGUCGUGAGACAGUUUGGUCCCUAUCUGCCGUGGGCGUUGGAUAUUUGAAGGGGGCUGCUCCUAGUACGAGAGGACCGGAGUGGACGAACCUCUGGUGUACCGGUUGUCACGCCAGUGGCAUCGCCGGGUAGCUAUGUUCGGAAGAGAUAACCGCUGAAAGCAUCUAAGCGGGAAACUCGCCUUAAGAUGAGAUAUCCCUGGGGACUAGAUCCCCUUGAAGGGUCGUUCGAGACCAGGACGUUGAUAGGUCAGGUGUGUAAGCGCAGUAAUGCGUUCAGCUAACUGAUACUAAUUGCCCGUAAGGCUUGAUCCU